UUCGCAAUGCCCGAAAGGGUGACGAAGCGACGCCGCGUGUGGGAAGAAGGCCUUCGGGUUGUAAACCACUGUUGGGAGUUAGGAAGUGUGGAGGUGUUAAUAGCGCUUUCACUUGACUAAAGCUCCAGAGGAAGCCACGGCUAACUCUGUGCCAGCAGCCGCGGUAAUACAGAGGCGGCAAGCGUUGUUCGGAAUUAUUGGGUGUAAAGAGCACGUAGGCGGCUCUGCAAGUCAGCUGUGAAAGCCUUCUGCUUAACGGAAGAACGGCAGUUGAAACUACAGGGCUUGAGUGCGGGAGGGGAGAGUGGAACUUCUGGUGGAGCGGUGAAAUGCGUAGAUAUCAGAAGGAACGCCGGCGGCGAAAGCGGCUCUCUGGUCCGUAACUGACGCUGAGUGUGCGAAAGCUAGGGGAGCAAACGGGAUUAGAUACCCCGGUAGUCCUAGCCGUAAACGAUGGGCACUAAGUAGAGGGGUU
RNAcentral lists this ribosomal RNA (475 nucleotides) under uncultured bacterium. Its description in RNAcentral is "bacterial SSU rRNA". It matches the Rfam family "Bacterial small subunit ribosomal RNA", at positions 365 to 830 of the family's 1533-position model. The record is from RNAcentral.